GUUAAUGGUGUUUUUCACAUGCAUGCUUUUUAAUGCUAGUUUAAUUCUCAAAUUGAUCUGAUACUUUCGUUUCACAAAAAGUAAACAUUUGUUCACUUUUUUAGGGCCUGACAAGCACCAGUUGAGUCCAUGAUUCAGGGAAGAGACAGUCUGGGCAGCAGCAACAAGACAACUAUUACAAGUAGAGAUGGGUUUCAAGAACUGACACAACCACAUAUCCUCCAAAUCAUCUCUGCGUGGAUGGCAGCAAGGAUCCAGGAUCAAGAGAUCAUUCUUCAUGGAGACUGUUCCACAGGAAGCAGUUUCUCCUGGGUGAAAAACUAAACCUGGUUGUUUCAGCAUCACUCA
This is a long non-coding RNA of Carassius gibelio (silver crucian carp), 348 nucleotides long. RefSeq lists it as uncharacterized. The transcript is spliced from 3 exons. The record is from RefSeq and is a predicted model, not a curated record. Lineage: Eukaryota; Metazoa; Chordata; Actinopteri; Cypriniformes; Cyprinidae.